ACUCCACGAUUCUCACAUAUCGGAGCAGAACGGUAUCUUUGAGUAAACCUUCUGAUUGAUUGAUUGCACGAGUUUGACUCUUCACUCACUCUGUCUACUGUCUGGAAUGGCGAAUCAGCAAUCGCCCUCUCUACGGCCAUGGAUUCUAGACGCAGUGCCUUUCAUCGUGGUUCUCCUGAUAGCAGCUCAUGUCCUCGCUUUGGUGUACUGGAUAUACAGAUUAGCUACGGAGAGAGAGAAACAACCCCAGAGGAGAAAAGCACACUAAGCAACAGAUUGAAUUGCGAAAAAGAAAAAAGAAAACCUUGUUGAUUUCUUUUGGGGAGAAUGUUAAUUGAUUUUGAUUAAGAGCUGGUCCUUUUAUAUCUAUUGGUUUGUGUACUAAUAUAUUAUGGAGUGCUGGAAAUUGAGAAUUUACUGAAUUUUUGAGUGCUAGUAAUUUAUUGGGUGAUGUGAGGUUUGUCUUCUGCUCUUUUGAUAUUUCGAUUCAUAAUUUUGUUUUGAAGUAACAGGCACUGCAGUUCUCUUGUUAUGUAUCGGAUGUUCUGGUGCAAUUUAUAAGGUCAGUGUAUUCUAUAUUUAGUUUCUUUUUUAUUUAUGAGAAUGUGAACUAGUGGAAGCAACCUCGUUCUGUUCAUGUUAAAUCUAUACUUCUUUUUGGUUUCUGAUUACUGUAAAGGAGGAUAAUUUGAUGAAUGAUUUCAAAUUAGUAUUA
Molecule: long non-coding RNA, 715 nt
Organism: Argentina anserina (silverweed cinquefoil)
Lineage: Eukaryota; Viridiplantae; Streptophyta; Magnoliopsida; Rosales; Rosaceae
Exons: 2
Source: RefSeq, a predicted model, not a curated record